GAACUGAAGAGUUUGAUCAUGGCUCAGAUUGAACGCUGGCGGCAGGCCUAACACAUGCAAGUCGAGCGGAUGAAGGGAGCUUGCUCCUGGAUUCAGCGGCGGACGGGUGAGUAAUGCCUAGGAAUCUGCCUGGUAGUGGGGGAUAACGUCCGGAAACGGGCGCUAAUACCGCAUACGUCCUGAGGGAGAAAGUGGGGGAUCUUCGGACCUCACGCUAUCAGAUGAGCCUAGGUCGGAUUAGCUAGUUGGUGGGGUAAAGGCCUACCAAGGCGACGAUCCGUAACUGGUCUGAGAGGAUGAUCAGUCACACUGGAACUGAGACACGGUCCAGACUCCUACGGGAGGCAGCAGUGGGGAAUAUUGGACAAUGGGCGAAAGCCUGAUCCAGCCAUGCCGCGUGUGUGAAGAAGGUCUUCGGAUUGUAAAGCACUUUAAGUUGGGAGGAAGGGCAGUAAGUUAAUACCUUGCUGUUUUGACGUUACCAACAGAAUAAGCACCGGCUAACUUCGUGCCAGCAGCCGCGGUAAUACGAAGGGUGCAAGCGUUAAUCGGAAUUACUGGGCGUAAAGCGCGCGUAGGUGGUUCAGCAAGUUGGAUGUGAAAUCCCCGGGCUCAACCUGGGAACUGCAUCCAAAACUACUGAGCUAGAGUACGGU
RNAcentral lists this ribosomal RNA (656 nucleotides) under Pseudomonas aeruginosa. RNAcentral's name for it is "bacterial SSU rRNA". It matches the Rfam family "Bacterial small subunit ribosomal RNA", at positions 1 to 652 of the family's 1533-position model. The record is from RNAcentral. Lineage: Bacteria; Pseudomonadati; Pseudomonadota; Gammaproteobacteria; Pseudomonadales; Pseudomonadaceae.